Molecule: ribosomal RNA, 422 nt
Filed under: uncultured archaeon
Lineage: Archaea
Description: bacterial SSU rRNA
Rfam family: Archaeal small subunit ribosomal RNA
Source: RNAcentral
UCAGCCGCCGCGGUAAAACCAGCACCUCGAGUGGUCAGGAGGUUUAUUGGGCCUAAAGCAUCCGUAGCCGGUUGUUUAAGUUUUCGGUUAAAUCUAUGCGCUUAACGUAUAGGCUGCCGAAAAUACUGGACAGCUAGGGAGUGGGAGAGGUACACGGUACUCAAUAGGAAGGGGUAAAAUCCUUUGACCUGUUGAUGACCACCUGUGGCGAAGGCGGUGUACCAGAACACGUUCGACGGUGAGGGAUGAAAGCUGGGGGAGCAAACCGGAUUAGAUACCCGGGUAGUCCCAGCUGUGAACGAUGCAAACUCGGUGAUGCAUUGGCUUGUGGCCAAUGCAGUGCCGCAGGGAAGCCGUUAAGUUUGCCGCCUGGGAAGUACGUACGCAAGUAUGAAACUUAAAGGAAUUGGCGGGGGAGCACA